Molecule: ribosomal RNA, 551 nt
Filed under: uncultured bacterium
Lineage: Bacteria
Description: bacterial SSU rRNA
Rfam family: Bacterial small subunit ribosomal RNA
Source: RNAcentral
AAUAGAUACCCGGGUAGUCCACGCCGUAAACGAUGAGUGCUAAGUGUUGGGGGGUUUCCGCCCCUCAGUGCUGCAGCUAACGCAUUAAGCACUCCGCCUGGGGAGUACGGUCGCAAGACUGAAACUCAAAGGAAUUGACGGGGGCCCGCACAAGCGGUGGAGCAUGUGGUUUAAUUCGAAGCAACGCGAAGAACCUUACCAGGUCUUGACAUCCCGGUGACCACUAUGGAGACAUAGUUUCCCCUUCGGGGGCAACGGUGACAGGUGGUGCAUGGUUGUCGUCAGCUCGUGUCGUGAGAUGUUGGGUUAAGUCCCGCAACGAGCGCAACCCUUAUUCUUAGUUGCCAUCAUUCAGUUGGGCACUCUAAGGAGACUGCCGGUGAUAAACCGGAGGAAAGUGGGGAUGACGUCAAAUCAUCAUGCCCCUUAUGACCUGGGCUACACACGUGCUACAAUGGACGGUACAAACGGUUGCCAACCCGCGAGGGGGAGCUAAUCCGAUAAAACCGUUCUCAGUUCGGAUUGUAGGCUGCAACUCGCCUACAUGAACG